CAGCCGCCGCGGGAAUACGUAGGUCCCGAGCGUUGUCCGGAUUUAUUGGGCGUAAAGCGAGCGCAGGCGGUCGGAUAAGUCUGAAGUUAAAGGCUGUGGCUUAACCAUAGUACGCUUUGGAAACUGUUUAACUUGAGUGCAAGAGGGGAGAGUGGAAUUCCAUGUGUAGCGGUGAAAUGCGUAGAUAUAUGGAGGAACACCGGUGGCGAAAGCGGCUCUCUGGCUUGUAACUGACGCUGAGGCUCGAAAGCGUGGGGAGCAAACAGGAUUAGAUACCCCCGUAGUCCCUGUCUCUUAUACA
RNAcentral lists this ribosomal RNA (301 nucleotides) under uncultured bacterium. Its description in RNAcentral is "partial 16S ribosomal RNA". It matches the Rfam family "Bacterial small subunit ribosomal RNA", at positions 509 to 808 of the family's 1533-position model. The record is from RNAcentral.